RNAcentral lists this ribosomal RNA (253 nucleotides) under uncultured bacterium. Its description in RNAcentral is "partial 16S ribosomal RNA". It matches the Rfam family "Bacterial small subunit ribosomal RNA", at positions 524 to 776 of the family's 1533-position model. The record is from RNAcentral.
UACGUAGGGUGCGAGCGUUAAUCGGAAUUACUGGCCGUAAAGCGUGCGCAGGCGGCUUUGCAAGACAGGCGUGAAAUCCCCGGGCUUAACCUGGGAAUGGCGCUUGUGACUGCAGUGCUGGAGUGCGGCAGAGGGGGAUGGAAUUCCGCGUGUAGCAGUGAAAUGCGUAGAUAUGCGGAGGAACACCGAUGGCGAAGGCAAUCCCCUGGGCCUGCACUGACGCUCAUGCACGAAAGCGUGGGGAGCAAACAGG